GUAAGAAUUUCAUUGCAUUUGCCAUAAAUAUUAUUUGUUUCUCAAAUUAUAAAGUAGUAAUGUUUAGUUCAGAUUACAUGACUAUUUCGUCGAGUAGUCAGUUUUUAUUUAUUAUAACUACCUAUUUAUUAUUUUGUAUUUCAUCAACUGAGCUUAACAAAGAAGAUGUAAAAGCAGUAAUUGGAAAUUUUGAGAAGUUCAUUAAAGACAUGAAAGCAGAAGUUCUGAAAGAGACUACACUUUCCAAAAAACCAGCAACUAAGCCCAAGAAUAAUCCUAUUGCAAAGCAUAAGCCACAAUUAAAAACGAAGACGCCAAAAAAUAAGCCCGCAUCGCAUCCAAAAAUGAUGAAACCUCCAAAACCAAACAUGAAGAUGGCACUGAAACCAAACAUGAGGAUGCUAUCGAACCAAAAAAAUAAGAUGCCAAAAGCACCACCACAAGCAAAAAGAUCAAACCUCAUUAAAAAGCCAGAUGCAGCAAAGAAAGCUCUUAGAUCUGAGUUUGUUAAAAAUAUCCGAGCGACAACCACCACAGAAGCAAUGAUAUUGAAACUUGUGUCUUAUUACGAAAAUAAAUACCACGUCGCAGAUAUAGAGGCUCUGUACAAAGUUCCAUCAGCCAAGCUAACCAAUUUACCAUCAAAUCUUAAGCAGAUGAGAGAAUCCAGGGUACCACAAUAGUAUUAAGUUUUGAUAAAUUAAAAGAUUUUGUAAGUACGAUUAGUUAGUUGAAUUUAAGAAAACCUUUUUUUAAUGUAAUAAAAGUUACAUAUAUUUUA
Long non-coding RNA from Plodia interpunctella (Indianmeal moth), 781 nucleotides. RefSeq lists it as uncharacterized. The transcript is spliced from 3 exons. The record is from RefSeq and is a predicted model, not a curated record. NCBI's taxonomy places the organism in Eukaryota, Metazoa, Arthropoda, Insecta, Lepidoptera, Pyralidae.